RNAcentral lists this long non-coding RNA (296 nucleotides) under Gallus gallus (chicken). Lineage: Eukaryota; Metazoa; Chordata; Aves; Galliformes; Phasianidae. The record is from RNAcentral.
CUCCUCUUCCUCGGGGGGGGGCGGAUCCUGCGCGGCGGCCACUUCGCCCUCAGCCUUCGCAGCGCUGUUGGUGUCCUCCUCCUCUUCCUCCUCCUCUUCUUCCUCCUCUUCCUCCUCCUCCUCCUCUUCUUCCUCCUCUUUUCCCGCUGCAGCAUCAGAGUCGUCCUCUUCCUCCUCUUCCUCCUCCUCUUCUUCCUCCUCUUCUUCCUCCUCCGACUCCUCCUUGUUGGAUUCCUCCUCCUCCUCUUCCUCCUCCUCCUCCUCCUCUUCCUCGCGGCUCUCCUUGGCGGUGCUCC